GAUGAACGCUGGCGGCGUGCCUAAUACAUGCCAGUCGAGCGAACAGACGAGGAGCUUGCUCCUCUGACGUUAGCGGCGGACGGGUGAGUAACACGUGGAUAACCUACCUAUAAGACUGGGAUAACUUCGGGAAACCGGAGCUAAUACCGGAUAAUAUAUUGAACCGCAUGGUUCAAUAGUGAAAGACGGUUUUGCUGUCACUUAUAGAUGGAUCCGCGCCGCAUUAGCUAGUUGGUAAGGUAACGGCUUACCAAGGCAACGAUGCGUAGCCGACCUGAGAGGGUGAUCGGCCACACUGGAACUGAGACACGGUCCAGACUCCUACGGGAGGCAGCAGUAGGGAAUCUUCGGCAAUGGGCGAAAGCCUGACGGAGCAACGCCGCGUGAGUGAUGAAGGUCUUCGGAUCGUAAAACUCUGUUAUUAGGGAAGAACAAAUGUGUAAGUAACUAUGCACGUCUUGACGGUACCUAAUCAGAAAGCCACGGCUAACUACGUG
This 497-nucleotide ribosomal RNA is filed under the name uncultured bacterium. RNAcentral's name for it is "partial 16S ribosomal RNA". It matches the Rfam family "Bacterial small subunit ribosomal RNA", at positions 28 to 507 of the family's 1533-position model. The record is from RNAcentral.